Long non-coding RNA from Arvicanthis niloticus (Nile rat), 1247 nucleotides. RefSeq lists it as uncharacterized. The record is from RefSeq and is a predicted model, not a curated record. Lineage: Eukaryota; Metazoa; Chordata; Mammalia; Rodentia; Muridae.
UCCCGGUCCCAGGGUGUGCGAGCCUCUCUUUCCUCCCGCGCCCCUGUCUGAUUUUUUAGUCGGGUGCCAAGAGGGGACCUGACAGCCAGGAGCGGGGUCGCACCCGCUGCGUGGCGCUGGCACCAUGGCCUGCGCCAACAGAUUGUUCACCCUCCUCCGGGAAAGCUAAGAAAACAGCACUAAGCCUUGCAAGCUGCGGCCCAUUAAUGCCUCUUAGCUCGCAAGAUGGGCGACUUGCUCCGAGCCAGGCCCUCCCCCUCCUGGCUUCUGAGAUUCUCCUCCCCCUCGCCCCUUCUGUUUCCCUCCUCUGUGCACCGCGGUCCUCUCGCCUUCGCCCUGCUCUCUCCCUCCUCCCAGCCCCCACACCUUCCUUUUGUUUCCAGUUUCUCUUCACCCUCCCCGCCCCCGGUUUUUUCCCCCUACCCUCUGUUUCCCCCUCUUCCUUUCCUUUCCGCGUUUCCCCCACUUGCUUCGGGUCGUCCGAGGCCAUCCUGCCUUUCAACAGUCCCAGUGCUCCAUAGGCGUCGGGAGCCCCCGCCUGCUCCUCUCUCCUCUCCGUUUCCCUGGUCGACCCUGCAAGUCCCAAGGGACAUCUCCUCUGCAGAACUCCAAAGUAUAUCGCACCUGGGAAGCCAAGGACACACAGACUCCUUUCUGGAAAAGAAGAUGUAUGUUGCAGGAGACGGGAACAUUUUUAAGGCCUGCAGCAGCUAGGAUGUGGAGGUCCACUGCAGUGGGUGCUCUCCUGAACACCUCGCCUACUGCCAGUUGCAAGCGGUCUAGUCCACUUCUGAGAAAACACCACCCAGCCUGUCUUCUCUCCAGGGCCCUGUGGGUAGUUGGCCAUGCUGUCGCCCAGCUUGAGCAAACAGUCUGAAAAGCCCUUAAAGACUGCAUCGCACUUGCCGGCUGCUCUCACGGCCUGCACCAGGUGUGAAAACUUCCGGAAUAAUAGAUCACCUAGCACCCUCAGUCUCAGGCAGCUAUAGCUACCUGUCCCUGAACAUGAAGCUACUGCAGACUCGAGGGAAGGUGACCCAGUCAGCCGCAGCCAGCCGAGAGCUGCGCUUGGCAGAUUGCAGCAGGAAGAACUAGGCGGGACUAGUGCUUUCUAAUCCGGAACGGGAAGCUCUGCGGAAAGGAACGAGGUUAACUUCCACCUCAGCUGGGGCAAACACACAACCUUCCACAGACCUAGACUCUCCUUCACGCCGAUUUUAAAAAACCCUUGGCACUAUAAUAAAAGC